CCCUAAUGAGGAAAAUCUAGCAAAUCCUGCUGAAUAAUUUAUACCAUAGGAAAUAACUAUGCAAAUCAGGUGUGCUUCCCAGUAUAAUAAAGUCACGUGACGUGCCCAGACAGACAAGCAAGAGACUGCACAAUUUGCAUAGAGGAGCAGCUGAAAUUAACCAUUACCCUGCUGGCUGGGAAGGCAAUACUUUUUAGGCUAAGGGGAGGAAACAGCAGCACAAGAAUGAAUUUGUGGAUGUAUUUAAAUACCUACUGAAUAACUGGGAGCCAAACAAAAAUGUGCAGUAUUUUCCCUUCAAG
Molecule: non-coding RNA, 302 nt
Organism: Pelobates cultripes (western spadefoot toad)
Lineage: Eukaryota; Metazoa; Chordata; Amphibia; Anura; Pelobatidae
Source: the annotation of a GenBank genome assembly